AUGGGGAGGAAAUUGCCCGCUCUUGCUCCGGCCGGGGCGGCGGGAAGGAAGCGAAAAGGUGCCACCUUGACAACGCUCGCCGCGUGCAAGCGCCCUGCGCGGGCGCAAGUAAUCGGCGGCUGGGCGUCCCUGCCCACCGACAUAGUUGGCCUCAUCACCUGCCGGCUCCUGGCCGGCGACGGCGACGGCGACGGCGACGUGGUUGAUUACAUCGCCUUCCGCGCCGUCUGCUCCGGCUGGCGCGCCUGCACGCCCACGGCGCGCGACCCCACUCUGCGGGAUCCCCGCCUACGCCCGCGCGGCUGGGUCGAUCUCUGUGACGGCGACGCCGUCCGCCCAGACGAUGCCUGCGAGAUCGUCUUCUUCCAUACGCGCACGGCCAGGCGCCUCCACGUCCUCCUCCCGGAGCUCCGGGGACACAGGAUCGUUGGCUUCACCGACGGACUCCUCAUCCUCGUGCACAAGCGCACCACCGAGGUCCGCGUGCUGCAUCCCUUCACGCGCGUCGUGGUCGAUUUCCCGCCCCUCGCCCCCGUGUACCACGCGGCAGUCAGGCGGAUGAAGCUGCUCGACAUGAGCGCCGCGAUAUGCAGCAGCGCGUCCUCGGCGACCUCCAUUGCCGUGGUGGUCUGGUUCCUCUGCACAAGUGUGGUGCUCGGCGCCGACCCGGGUUCAGACUGGGAGGUUCUCCACCGAGGUCUUUAUGUUUGGAAUACCUUGUCCUUCCAAGGAAAGCUCUACGCCACCACCCUGUCUUCACACGAGAUCCUGCAGCUAUACCCUCCUCCCACUCCCAGACAGGAACCCCUCGAGAAUUCUGUGGUGGUUGCUCAUGCUCCAUAUUUUGCUGAUCGCCUGCAUAGCGAUUUUCUACUCGUGGAGUCUGGUGGAAGGAUGCUGCUCGUCGUCCGGCACCCAGCUCCUGCGGUGACCGAUGCCUGUCUGUUUCGGCCAUGGGACCCCAUUGUGUUGCAUUCGCUGGGGACUGGUUUGUCCGAGCGCUUAGCCGAGUCCUGCAAAAUACAUGAUGGGAAGGACAGGAUACGCCCAUCUGUGCGCCCCUACACCAUUGCUGAUCAUCUCAUGACCUACUGCCAUACUCCUGAGUGGUCUAAAGGACUCAUGUUCCACGAGUACCAAUACAUACCUGAAUCUUUCAAGGAACUGAUUAAGAACAUCCGGGCACAAGAUGCGCAAGUUCUGGCAGCAUAUGGAGAAGAAGAGAGGGGGCAUGAACCUGAAGAUAUUUUGUUUACUAGGAUUGUUGAGAACUUGGUUAACCUCAUCGGGAUGUUAGGCAACAUUAAUUCUCAGCGUCUUGGGCAGGGCCAUGGGCCUGAUCAGGGCCGGUCCUGGGGAGGGGCGAACGGGGCGGCCGCCCCGGGCCCCCAAAAGUCAAGGGGCCCCUCCUAG
This 1413-nucleotide ribosomal RNA is filed under the name Triticum aestivum (bread wheat). RNAcentral describes it as "partial small subunit ribosomal RNA". Lineage: Eukaryota; Viridiplantae; Streptophyta; Magnoliopsida; Poales; Poaceae. The record is from RNAcentral.